GUUAUUUGGCUUGGCAGUCAGAGGAGGACAAGUUGCAGGAGAGAGAAUCAAAGAUUCAGGCUGCCUAGUGUGGCCACCGCCCCAUCAGCCCUAAGAUGAUCGCAGCCCCUUUCUGGCCACUGAAUAUGUGGGCACCCCAGACCUCUGUGGCAAGGCUGGGUGAGAGCUGUCUUUUGUGCACAGGUGCCCCUAGUCCCCCACCACUAGUGAGCAUUCACACACAGAGGUGAACAGCCCCCUUGUGGGCCUGGAGGCUCCUAGGCCAGGUAGAGAUGACCAGAGUAGGGAGCAGAGAAUCCCCAGUGCCUAGCACAGUGACUGGCACUGAAGCAUUUGUUGGAUGAAUGAAUGAGUGAUUGCCUGACCUCAGGCCCAGGGAGGAAGGCCUGGUGUGCAGGGCAGCUCCUGGGAGGCUUCAGGGAUGGGGAGAGGACAGAGAGGGACUGGGAGAGCCACAGGAAGGCAGCCUCAUCUGAUGACUGACUUGGGAGGGAAACAGAAUGUGGGCUGUGUUUCUGGGGAAACACCCCCCUGAUGCCCGGGCACCCAGGAACUUCCAGGUACCCCCGGAUCACCCCAGUGAGGACACUCCACAAUUCCCCAGGAGGCAUCACAGUGGGGCCGUUAAACCCAGGGACUUGGGAUUCAGACACUUCUGGGCUCCAGUCCACCCCUCACUGGCUGGACCAGUUGCCUCAGUUUCCCUAUGUGCACGGGGGACGGAUAGGACCACGUGCUGCACAGGUUUGCUGGGAAGGCCAUAUGAGAGGUGCCGGCUCAGCACAUCCUGUCUGCCAUUGUUACAAACAACAGCACGGGAGAGUCGGGGAGCAGAGUCGGCCAAACGCAAGACCCUGGGCUCUGGCUUCCCUGUGCUACUGACCUAUGGGGUGGCUUUGGACAAGGCCCAGCCUUUCUCCAGGCCUUAGUUUCCCCAUUUGUACAGUCAGGCCCUGCUAACUUGGACAGACUUUGGCCCUUCUCCAAGCCCCACAGAGACAUCAGAGACAUGUGCACACACGGCCCUGGGAUUGCCGACAGACACACAGGCACACAUAGGCACGUACACACAGGCAUACAGACACAGGCACAGACUCACACUCGGCCCCUCCCCACUCACACUCGCUCACACUCAUGCUCACACUCACACCAACCCCCCUCCCCCAAAUCUGCUGCGCACCAACGGUUGGUGCGAGCGGGGUUGAGAACGGGAGGAAAAAAGCCCACGACUCAGCCCGGGAAGAGGGGUGCGGUGGGGGAAGGGCGGGCGAGGGAAAUGACAGCCCGCGGUCCCCCUCGAGUCCCGGCUCAUGAAUAUUAAUACGGCGGUAAUUAAAAUGCAGGGACGCAGCAGGAUGGAUGCGGCUGCCUCCGGAGCGCGGGGGAGCGCGGAGUCUUUGCAGGCGGGUGAAGCCCGCUCCUCGCCGGCGAAAAGCGGGGCCGGGCUCCGGGGCCUGGGUCCGGGGCGGGCGGGAGUGGGGACAUUUUUCGUGGUCCCGAGCGUCCCGUCCCGGCGUCCCCGCCCCCGCCCCGCGGCCGCCUCUCCACGCCCUGCCCCGGGCCGCCCGCCAGGCCGCCGUUUCCCGGAGCCGGCCCCCUCCCGCCCUCGCGGCCGGCUGAUGUCAUCUGCACACAACUUUCCGCUUCCCGGCCCGUCUCGGGGCCCUGAGUCAUCGCCGCCCCCGGCCCCGACGCUGGCCUGCGGCGUCUGUUUGUGCAGAGCGAGGCCCCGCCGGCCGGGCUUGACGUCAGGCUGGCAGGGCCUGGAACGGCCCCGCAUCGCGGCCCCCUGGGGGCAGGACGACACCGCUGGGGGCCGAGGGCAGGGCACGCCUUCGGAAUCCGGCUUCGAAGCCGGCCGCCUGACCUGGGGCAAGUGCUUUCAACUCUCUGAACUUCGGUUCCUCAUCUGCCAGUUGGCAGACGCUCAGCAAAUCUUCCUAGACUCACGGGGCGAAUUGUACAGUUGGGUAAAUCGAGGCCCAGAGAUGGCAAAAGGACCGUCCAAGGUCGUACAGCCACCCGGAAUUACAAUUCUUUUCUGCCGGGUCACACGCUGUCAUCCACGUGUUACCUAAGAGAGCUUUCCAGCCUGUGCUAAGAAAACUGCCCCACAUCAUCUGCAGUAGGACGGGGGAGUUGGAGCCCUGGUCAGGCCACUCUGCUACUGACCACAGUUUUCUCAUCUCUAAAAAGGCGCAGUAACAAUAUAAUUACCGUAUGCAGUCCCCCAGGAUACAGGGUCAAAGGAGAGCACAACCAUCGCAGUUGGAAGCCCAUGGGGCAGCAGGGCCCAGGACACAGUGAGCAUACAAUAGACAUUAGCUGCUGUGGUGUCUUGAUUUCAAGCCCAGUGCAGAUGCAUCUGACUUACGAAACUUCAGUGACACCUGCUCUGUGCCAGACACUGAAGAUGGAGCAGUGAACAGCACUGACCCAGCCUGUCCUCCUGUUGCCUGCAGGCCAGACGGAGUCUCACUCUGUCACCAGGCUGGAGUACAGUGGUGUGAUCUCGGCUCACUGCAACCUCCGCCUCCCAGGUUCAAGCGAUUCUCCUGCCUCAGCCUCUCAAGUAGCUGAGAUUACAGACGUGUGUCACCAUGCCCUGUUAAUUUUUGUUUGUUUGUUUUGUUUUUUGUUUUGUUUUGUUUCGUUUUUUGUUUUUUUUUUUUGAGACGGAGUCUUGCUCUGUCGCCCAGGCUGGAGUGCAGUGGCCCCGAUCUCGGCUCACCGCAAGCUCCGCCUCGCGGGUUCAUGCCAUUCUCCGGCCUCAGCCUCCCGAGUAGCUGGGACUACAGGCAUCCGCCACCACACCCAGCUAAUUUUUUGUAUUUUUUUUAGUAGAGACGGGGUUUCACUGUGUUAGCCAGGAUGGUCUCGAUCCCCUGACCUUGUGAUCCACCCAAGGCCUCGGCCUCCCAAAGUGCUGGGAUUACAGGCAUGAGCCACCGUGCCCGGUCAAUUUUUAUAUUUUUUGUAGAGACAGGGUUUCACCAUGUUGGCCAGGCUGGUGUCGAACUCCCGACCUCAGGUGAUUGUCGGCCUUGGCCUCCCAAAGUGCUGGGAUUACAGGCGUGAGCCACCGCGCCCAGCCGGUGGGCAGCCAGUUGUGUUCCGGGAGGAGGAGGACACCCUGGAAAGACAGUGGGGCCAGACACUGAACUGCCUUUGGAAGCAAGUAGGAGCAACAGCGAAGGUUUGCUGGCUCAGAAGCAAGGUCUCGCUGUGUUACCCUGGCUGGAGUGCAGUGGCUACUUACAGGCAUGAUCAUAGCAUACUGCAGCCUCGAACUCCUGGACUAGAGCAGUUCUCCUGCCUCAGCCUCCAGAGCAGCUGGGACUGCAGACACGCACCACAGAGCCCAGCCUGAGUCAUUUUGAUUCUGUAACUGGCUUCCUCUCGGCGGGCAGGCUCACACCCUCCACCCCCAGCUGGAGAUGGAAGGAGGAUGCUCACCGCCCAUUCCUCAUGCAGGCCAUCGAUGGAAAUGUCAGACAGUGCGAGUCCACGCCUGAACACUUCUGGGGUCCGCUCUGGGACUGACACUGGCAGAUCCAUCGGUGAGCUCCCGCCUGCCACCUCUGGGCCUGCAUUGCGGUGAUAGGGCCAAGGGCCUGGGCCUUCAAUUCUCCAGACUUGCCAAAAUGCUCAGCGCAGGCCUCGUCGGCAACUGCAGACAAGCAGAGGCAGCACCUGGGCUCUGCCUGUGCCUGGCACAGUGAAGCGAGGGUGGGGGCAGGAAUGAGGGUCCUCUCCAUGCAAGGGGGGAAGAUAGAAGAACAAAAUUUCACCCUAAUGUAGUGUCUUUAGACCGUGCAAUGUUGUGCUCCUGUUAGUCUGAUAUCAGGGGCUUGCAGCCUGGCAAAGGAAAAAAAACAGGCUGAGGCACAUGAUAGAAGACAGGCAGGGAUGCCACAAUCAUAACCAUGGCAAAGACCAGGAUCAGAAAGGCCCACCAUCUCUGACCCCAAAUCCCUGGGCAGAUGGUUCCAGAACUCAGAAUUUUCCCAGUUGUAGAAAGAUGGGGCCAGGUGCAGUGGCUCACGCCUGUAAUCCCAGCAUUUUGGGAGUACAAGGUGGGCGGAUCACCUGAGGUCAGGAGUUCGAGACCAGCCUGGCCAACAUGGUGAAACCCUGUCUCUACUAAAAAAAAAAAAAAAAAUUAGCCGGGCGUGGCGAUGCAUGCCUGUAAUCCCAGCUACUCGGGAGGCUGAGCCAGGAGAAUUGCUUGAACCCGGGAGGCGGAGGUUGCAGUGAGCCAAGAUCGCGCCACUACACUCCAGUCCGGGCGACAGAGCAAGAGUCCAUUCCCCCACCACCAAAAAAAAAAAAAAAAGAAAGAAAGAUGAUGUGAUACAUAUCACAUAUUUCCUAACACCCCCAACCAAACACAUUUAUGCAUAUGCAUAAAGCAGACGAGGAAAGAUUCUAAAUAGGCUCUGAAUCUCAGUUUUCUCAUCUCUACAAUGGGGCAGUGAUGGCAUGCACCUCCCAGGGCUGUUCUGAGAAUCUGAUGCCUCCCAUUGCACUGGUGAGCCUGGCACAGGCACAGGUCCCACCCCAGGCCCUUUGAACUGGCUGUUCCUUUGGCCUGGAACAUUCCUCCCCAGAUACCUCCUGAGAGGGCUCCCUCACUUCCUUCAAGGCACUGCUCAAAUGCUACCUCUUCACAGAGGCUUUCCCUGACCACCCCGUCUCUUUCCUCUUCCUGCAUAGCCUCUGUCACCUGACAUUUUAUGUCAUAAAUUACUCAUUUAUUAAUUUCCUGCUCUCCCACAGUGGCACCCGAGCUCUGUGAGGGCAAGACUUUGUUCGGUUGUGGGCUAUGCCCCCAACCCCUCGGACAGUGCCUGCACAGGUGGACAUUUUUGUUGGAUGAAGGAUUUUCUGUUAAAUGUGUCUGGCACACACAGAAAAACAAAGCCCAGCAGAUGCCGUUCCAUUGUUUGCUGACUUUCAUUGAUUCUAUGAGAAGUCUGCAGUCUUUUGCAGCGUUGUUUUCCUAUGUAUAAUUGUCUCCUCCCACCCCACUCACCCCAGCUGCUUUCCACAUUCUCUCUCUUUGAUUUUCAGCAGUCUGCCCAUGAUGUGCCUAAAUAGGACUUUCUUUGCAUUCAUCUUGGCUGGGGCUCACUGAACUUUCUGAAUCUGUAGAUUAAUUUUCUUUUUUCAAUAAACCUUGGAAUAUUUUCAGCAUAAUUUUUUUCCUGUCUUCUUCUCUCUCUUUUCUCCUCUGAAAU
This 5240-nucleotide long non-coding RNA is filed under the name Homo sapiens (human). RNAcentral's name for it is "non-protein coding LINC00963:49". Lineage: Eukaryota; Metazoa; Chordata; Mammalia; Primates; Hominidae. The record is from RNAcentral.